RNAcentral lists this ribosomal RNA (575 nucleotides) under uncultured bacterium. RNAcentral's name for it is "partial 16S ribosomal RNA". It matches the Rfam family "Bacterial small subunit ribosomal RNA", at positions 355 to 920 of the family's 1533-position model. The record is from RNAcentral.
UGGGGAAUUUUGGACAAUGGGCGAAAGCCUGAUCCAGCAAUGCCGCGUGUGUGAAGAAGGCCUUCGGGUUGUAAAGCACUUUUGUCCGGAAAGAAAUCCUUGGCUCUAAUACAGUCGGGGGAUGACGGUACCGGAAGAAUAAGCACCGGCUAACUACGUGCCAGCAGCCGCGGUAAUACGUAGGGUGCAAGCGUUAAUCGGAAUUACUGGGCGUAAAGCGUGCGCAGGCGGUUUGCUAAGACCGAUGUGAAAUCCCCGGGCUCAACCUGGGAACUGCAUUGGUGACUGGCAGGCUAGAGUAUGGCAGAGGGGGGUAGAAUUCCACGUGUAGCAGUGAAAUGCGUAGAGAUGUGGAGGAAUACCGAUGGCGAAGGCAGCCCCCUGGGCCAAUACUGACGCUCAUGCACGAAAGCGUGGGGGAGCAAAACAGGAUUAGAUACCCUGGUAGUCCACGCCCUAAAACGAUGUCAACUAGUUGUUGGGGAUUCAUUUCCUUAGUAACGUAGCUAACGCGUGAAGUUGACCGCCUGGGGAGUACGGUCGCAAGAUUAAAACUCAAAUGAAUUGACGGGGUC